Helianthus annuus (common sunflower) is the source of this 452-nucleotide long non-coding RNA. RefSeq lists it as uncharacterized. The record is from RefSeq and is a predicted model, not a curated record. The transcript has 3 exons. NCBI's taxonomy places the organism in Eukaryota, Viridiplantae, Streptophyta, Magnoliopsida, Asterales, Asteraceae.
UAUCCAGGAGAAACAAGAAGGUUCUCCACAAGAACCCUAAACUCAUAAAAAUCCAACGAAUCAAAGGGAAAACGAGCUAGAAAUUUGGGGCUUUUACUAAAUUCGUGAUCAUCAAAACUAGGAGAUCACAAGGCACGGUGGUUGAAUCUUCAAGCGGUCAAGUCGGAGCGGACGCGCGCUUGAAGGAUAUGCUUUGAAAGGUGAUGUUGGUCUCGCUCCGGAUGGCGAUUAAGCAUGAAUUCAAGAACCGAACACAUCGUUUUGAAGCUUCUGCGUUAAUCUAAAUUCUUGUAGACAAUGUUUAUUUUGUAAACACUUAACUUGAUGUCUCUCAUGUUUAAACUAGUUAGUUAGAUAGUAAACUAAGAUACUAUCAUUAUGAAAUCUUAUCGUUUUGUAUAACUUUUGAAAUGACGCAUUUAUUUUAAAAAUGCUUAUUUUAUGUUAAAAUC